This 465-nucleotide ribosomal RNA is filed under the name Vreelandella stevensii. RNAcentral describes it as "partial 16S ribosomal RNA". It matches the Rfam family "Bacterial small subunit ribosomal RNA", at positions 338 to 795 of the family's 1533-position model. Lineage: Bacteria; Pseudomonadati; Pseudomonadota; Gammaproteobacteria; Oceanospirillales; Halomonadaceae. The record is from RNAcentral.
CCUACGGGAGGCAGCAGUGGGGAAUAUUGGACAAUGGGCGAAAGCCUGAUCCAGCCAUGCCGCGUGUGUGAAGAAGGCCUUCGGGUUGUAAAGCACUUUCAGUGGGGAAGAAAGCCUUGGGGCUAAUACCCUCGAGGAAGGACAUCACCCACAGAAGAAGCACCGGCUAACUCCGUGCCAGCAGCCGCGGUAAUACGGAGGGUGCGAGCGUUAAUCGGAAUUACUGGGCGUAAAGCGCGCGUAGGCGGUCUGAUAAGCCGGUUGUGAAAGCCCCGGGCUCAACCUGGGAACGGCAUCCGGAAAUGGCAGGCGAGAGGGCAGGAGAGGAGGGUAGAAUUCCCGGUGUAGCGGUGAAAUGCGUAGAGAUCGGGAGGAAUACCAGUGGCGAAGGCGGCCUUCUGGACUGACACUGACGCUGAGGUGCGAAAGCGUGGGUAGCAAACAGGAUUAGAUACCCGUGUAGUC